RNAcentral lists this ribosomal RNA (492 nucleotides) under uncultured bacterium. RNAcentral's name for it is "partial 16S ribosomal RNA". It matches the Rfam family "Bacterial small subunit ribosomal RNA", at positions 29 to 507 of the family's 1533-position model. The record is from RNAcentral.
AGUGAACGCUGGCGGUAGGCCCAACACAUGCAAGUCGAACGGCAGCACAGUAAGAGCUUGCUCUUACGGGUGGCGAGUGGCGGACGGGUGAGGAAUACAUCGGAAUCUACUUUUUCGUGGGGGAUAACGUAGGGAAACUUACGCUAAUACCGCAUACGACCUACGGGUGAAAGCAGGGGAUCUUCGGACCUUGCGCGAUUGAAUGAGCCGAUGUCGGAUUAGCUAGUUGGCGGGGUAAAGGCCCACCAAGGCGACGAUCCGUAGCUGGUCUGAGAGGAUGAUCAGCCACACUGGAACUGAGACGCGGUCCAGACUCCUACGGGAGGCAGCAGUGGGGAAUAUUGGACAAUGGGCGCAAGCCUGAUCCAGCCAUACCGCGUGGGUGAAGAAGGCCUUCGGGUUGUAAAGCCCUUUUGUUGGGAAAGAAAAGCAGCAGGUUAAUACCCCGCUGUUCUGACGGUACCCAAAGAAUAAGCACCGGCUAACUUCGUG